AUCACACCCAAUGCACUCCUGUUGGGGCGGGCAUCAUCGAGUGGUGACUGGAAAACAUUUGUGUUUACGAGCUACCCCUAUAAGAGGCUUCAGGGAAUGCAGCACCAGGUCAACAAAUUCUGGAGGUCCUGGAGCCAACUUGCCGGCCCUAAUCUCUUCGUGAGGAGUAAAUGGCACACUACACAGAGGAAUGUUGCAGACGGAGAUAUUGUUUGGCUGUGCGACCAAAAUGCAUUGAGGGGUGAGACCUGCAACAUCAGCAUCCAGGCAUCUUGCCUCCAGCAUCUGGAGGGACGUUCAGUCCACAAUUCUUCAUCGGGACGUUCGACGAUUGGUGGUUCUGCUGCCAGUGGAGGAGCAGGCAGGAGGCCAAAAAGGGGAUCUCUGACCACAAGGUCACUGUGCGAUCUUUCCAGCGGUUCUCGUGGGAAGAUCGAGUGGGAGGUGUUGAGUUGAGUUGCAGACCGAGCCCCUCUCUGGCUGGGAGGUAGGUUUAGGUGAGUCUCUCAGGCUGGAGGCGGAGAUUUUAAUGCACCAGGUGGAGAGGAUCUGGCGAUCAGGGGAGUUGGAGUCACUCACUCACAGGACAGUGAAGAGCGAGCAGUGUGAGAAAGCGAGAUUGAAGAGCUUGGGAAGAGGAGACUGCAGGAAUAAAGCUUGCAAAGCCUGAAGAAGGAGCCGGUUUUUCACCUGGUUUGACCUGGACAAUUUUAAAAAGAAAAAGCAAGAAAGCAAAGAAGUCCGAAUCUUGGUCAUUGAGUGGAAUCCAGUCUACACUUCUUAGCAAGCUGCCCUUUCAAGUGGGGGGCUGCAGUUUGACCCUCACAAAAGUGAGACACUUGACAGUGAAAAACCGCCACUGGUGCGAAGACUGGAGCGAAGUAUCCUGAACUGCAACUGGC
Gasterosteus aculeatus aculeatus (three-spined stickleback) is the source of this 902-nucleotide long non-coding RNA. The record is from Ensembl. NCBI's taxonomy places the organism in Eukaryota, Metazoa, Chordata, Actinopteri, Perciformes, Gasterosteidae.